AACCAUCUCGACAGUCUCCCCAGAGUAUUGGGUGUAUUGAGUCCAUGAAUGGACGAUUUUCACUUGGAUCUUCCAUUGAGUCUUGAAUGGUUUGACUGCAUUAAGUUCGGUGAUGGGAAGAGCCAUUGUUUGAGAGAUCGGAGUACUAAAUGCGAGAGAAAUAUAAAGGCCCAGCUUGACUAAGCCCAGUAAGCUCAUUAUGCACUUCUGGAUGAAGAUCCGACUGGUGGCUCCAAGAUCCGCUGGUAAUGGCUCCAAGAUCCGCGUGUAAUUGCCCUGGAAAUUGUCCAUUAUACCCUCUGACGAAUUUGGUUAUUUAGUCGUAGGUUUAAAAUUUUCCAAUGGCAUUCUAUUAUAAUUUUUUACACUUUAUAAGGUUAGUUAAGUUAGAAUGAUUCCCAAUUAA
Long non-coding RNA from Arabidopsis lyrata subsp. lyrata, 406 nucleotides. RefSeq lists it as uncharacterized. The record is from RefSeq and is a predicted model, not a curated record. Lineage: Eukaryota; Viridiplantae; Streptophyta; Magnoliopsida; Brassicales; Brassicaceae. The transcript is spliced from 2 exons.